AUGACGGUACCUGAAGAAUAAGCACCGGCUAACUACGUGCCAGCAGCCGCGGUAAUACGUAGGGUGCGAGCGUUAAUCGGAAUUACUGGGCGUAAAGCGGGCGCAGACGGUUACUUAAGCAGGAUGUGAAAUCCCCGGGCUCAACCUGGGAACUGCGUUCUGAACUGGGUGACUAGAGUGUGUCAGAGGGAGGUAGAAUUCCACGUGUAGCAGUGAAAUGCGUAGAGAUGUGGAGGAAUACCGAUGGCGAAGGCAGCCUCCUGGGAUAACACUGACGUUCAUGCUCGAAAGCGUGGGUAGCAAACAGGAUUAGAUACCCUGGUAGUCCACGCCCUAAACGAUGUCAAUUAGCUGUUGGGCAACUUGAUUGCUUAGUAGCGUAGCUAACGCGUGAAAUUGACCGCCUGGGGAGUACGGUCGCAAGAUUAAAACUCAAAGGAAUUGACGGGGACCCGCACAAGCGGUGGAUGAUGUGGAUUAAUUCGAUGCAACGCGAAGAACCUUACCUGGUCUUGACAUGUACGGAAUCCUCCAGAGACGGAGGAGUGCCUUCGGGAGCCGUAACACAGGUGCUGCAUGGCUGUCGUCAGCUCGUGUCGUGAGAUGUUGGGUUAAGUCCCGCAACGAGCGCAACCCUUGUCAUUAGUUGCCAUCAUUAAGUUGGGCACUCUAAUGAGACUGCCGGUGACAAGCCGGAGGAAGGUGGGGAUGACGUCAAGUCCUCAUGGCCCUUAUGACCAGGGCUUCACACGUCAUACAAUGGUCGGUACAGAGGGUA
RNAcentral lists this ribosomal RNA (778 nucleotides) under human gut metagenome. Its description in RNAcentral is "bacterial SSU rRNA". It matches the Rfam family "Bacterial small subunit ribosomal RNA", at positions 469 to 1248 of the family's 1533-position model. The record is from RNAcentral.